RNAcentral lists this ribosomal RNA (253 nucleotides) under uncultured bacterium. Its description in RNAcentral is "partial 16S ribosomal RNA". It matches the Rfam family "Bacterial small subunit ribosomal RNA", at positions 524 to 776 of the family's 1533-position model. The record is from RNAcentral.
UACGGGGGGGGCAAGCGUUGUUCGGAAUUACUGGGCGUAAAGGGUGCGUAGGCGGUGCUCUAAGUCGGAUGUGAAAACUCUGGGCUCAACCCAGAGCCUGCAUCCGAAACUGGAGUGCUAGAGUUCUGGAGGGGGUAGCGGAAUUCCUGGUGUAGCGGUGAAAUGCGUAGAUAUCAGGAGGAACACCUGCGGUGUAGACGGCUUUCUGGACCAUUGCUGACGCUGAGACACGAAAGCGUGGGUAGCAAACAGG